GAAAAAAAGAAAAAAUUGAUUUACAGCAUCUAACAGUUCCAUUCAACAGUGCAUUAGCCUGCGCUACUAUGGGCUUCCACAAAAAAUAUGGAUAAAUCGAACCAGGAAAUGGAUCAUCUUCGCAUGCCACCGAAAAAGGAAUCUGUUGUUACUCAAGACGGAGCUCUAGGCUCAGGGACUGUCUCUAAUUUUAGCACCUGGAGUUCCAUAUAAGCAUACCAUAUAUUUUAGCUAUGACACACAGAAACAAUAAAUCCUAAAACCAAACACCAGGCAUAGAGGCAAACACUAUGUUCUCAUGACUUAAACGAGUCAGUCAUUUGAAAUGGUAAUAAGCUCCUUUAAUGAAAAUAGAGUGAGAGAAUUGACUCGGAAACAAAAUCAGAAGAAAAAAAAAAGUCAACUGAAGUAUACAAGGCUUGUAAAACAUAGGUGUAUGUAUCUCUGUCAUUUUAUACUUUCCUUAUAGAAUGUAAUGAAACCGAAAACAUUUCAUGCGAACUGAAAUAACUUAAACAGCCCAUAAAUUGAUCCUGCACUUCCAUUUGCACAUGAGACCCUUCAUGUGCAAAUGUUUAUGAGGGAAUGAAUACAUAAUUGUAUUGUUCAAAAAAUAUUGGUUCAACCAUUCUGCAGAAACUUUCUACAGAUCCCCAAAUAUAAUUAUGUUAGUGAUGUUUUUAUCACAAUUAUUUGAGAAUUUAUGGGCAUUCGAUUUUCUUUCCCUCCUUGCUGCUAUGUCUUUUGACUUGACUGACUCUAUGUCUAAGCCUUCUAAAAGUGACGCCAAUAGUUUAAUCAAUAACAACUUCAAUGCCCUCCGCUGACUUUAGCACCUUUUAUAUUUUAUAUGAUUAUGGCUCUCAUCUCCCGCUCAUUCUCCUGUGUGCACAGCCUUGAGCCCUGUCUGUUACAGCUCCUAUGGAAGGCUGAGUAAAUGUUUUCUUUUGUGCGGGAGCUCUGCUCCUGUAAAGGACAGCCGUUAUAUGUCUCAACCUCUACAGUAUAGAAACACAAAUAGAACUGUACAAUGGGGGAUGUCAGAGGAGUGCAGAUGACCAAACUCUGUAGGGAGUCAUGUACUGUAAGUGCAGGCUCUCAUCUCAACUGCUAGGAAUCAAUAUGUCAUUUCCUCCCUACCUGUCAGAAGUGCGCAGAGACCCAGAUCUAAGUUUUUCUUUUUUUAUAUGUACAGUGCAAGGUAUGUGUGCUAUAGAUUCUGUCUUUGAAUUGAUCUUAACAAGUGCUACGUUGAUACGAAUUGGAAAAAUUGGCUCUAUUCUUCAGCAAGUGCCUAUGUUUAGGUAACACUUUAUGUGAAGUUGCCCUUAGAGCCUACCUGUGUAAUAACACAGUUAUUACUAUAGUUACAAUAUUGUAUUAGCAUGUUACUACAUGGUUAUUUAGUCAUUAUCUGUAGUUGUCUUUGUUGGAACCUGCAGAACUGUGAUUGGGUGUAGGCCUAAUGUUAUUAUAGUGUCCUUUCUUUUCCUGUGCGUGGAGGCUCAUAGUGACAGACAAAUGAAUAACAUGAGUAGAGAUAAACACUUCACUGUAGGCAUGUAUUGCAUGUAUGUGAUUGCAUAUUGUGUACUGGUAGCGAACGAGGUGAUUCUCCCUUGACAAUAUGAAGCACUUUUAACUCCUUGGAAAAGCCUGAAUGAAUCCAAUACGUUAUUAUUCUAAUAGCAUAUGGCCUUCAAAAUUGCCCGAGAUGGCAAAUGUGAAUGUGCAAAUGUGCAUUUUUAUUGUCAUUUAUGAAAGCUGCAAUAGUAUUUACCAAGGUGUCCGUGGGGUUUUAUUGGUCAGCCCAGUUAUUUCCCCAUGUGUUUAGGCUGGCUGUUUUCUUCCUUUGUCCCACACAAUUAAAUCGGGGAGGGGCUGUGGAUCUGUCUCCGUCCGUUAAUAUGUUCGUACGUUCGUCACACGCAAUAUCUCAGACAGCACUGGCCUGAUUAUGAUGAAAUUUGGGUGAAUGAUGUGUCUUUACGCAGAGUACAAAAUUACACUGACUGACCAGAUGGUGGCGCUAUAACAAGUGAUUGAAAAUGCAAACCCCUCACUCCAUUUGACCUAAAGUCAUGAAAUUCAGUACAUAGGUCCCUCUCCUAUGUAAAUUUACUUCUGGUACCCUUUAGGUCCGCCAUUAUGUAUUUUCCGCCAUUUUGAAUUUUGUGGAUUUAUUUUUAAAACGCUACUCUGCUGGCACGGAAUGACCAAUCUGAAUAAAACUUGAUAUGUGGCAUCUAUGGAAAAAGGUCUCUCAACACAACUUUUUUCCACACUAGUACCUAAAACAAUAUGGUCGUUAUUGACCAAUAAACAAUCUGUCAAAACCUCAUUGUGGCGGCAGGGUAGCCUAGUGGUUAGAGCAUUGGACUAGUAACCGAAAGGUUGUAAGUUCAAAUCCCUGAGCUGACAAGAUACAAAAUCUGUUUUUCUGCCCCUGAACAGGCAGUUAACCCACUGUUCCUAGGCUGUCAUUGAAAAUAAGAAUUUGUUCUUAACUGAC
Oncorhynchus tshawytscha (Chinook salmon) is the source of this 2512-nucleotide long non-coding RNA. The record is from Ensembl. NCBI's taxonomy places the organism in Eukaryota, Metazoa, Chordata, Actinopteri, Salmoniformes, Salmonidae.